Molecule: transfer RNA, 76 nt
Filed under: Methylomonas sp.
Lineage: Bacteria; Pseudomonadati; Pseudomonadota; Gammaproteobacteria; Methylococcales; Methylococcaceae
Also listed under: 2 other names
Description: tRNA-Glu
Rfam family: tRNA
About the family: Transfer RNA (tRNA) molecules are approximately 80 nucleotides in length. Their secondary structure includes four short double-helical elements and three loops (D, anti-codon, and T loops).
Source: RNAcentral
GUCCCCAUCGUCUAGCGGCCUAGGACACCGCCCUUUCACGGCGGGAACAGGGGUUCGAACCCCCUUGGGGACGCCA